CUGCUGUCUGCUGUUGAAGGUCAUAAUGUCAUUUAGUUCAACGUUAAUUUAUUUGAAAUAUACUGAAAAUUAAGAACCAUAAAAGUAAUUGAACUCAUUGAGUUCAUUUGAUACUCCAACCGCUGUGAAUCCAUAUGCAAGUAUUUUAGUGUACCUGGAAAUAAAUUUAUCAGAGACAUCUGAUCAAAAGAAAUCAGGAGUAGAAACUUCAAAAUACAAGAUCAACGGGCUUGCUCCUAAACCCUGAUUUCAUUCCAG
This 258-nucleotide long non-coding RNA is filed under the name Olea europaea subsp. europaea. The record is from RNAcentral. Lineage: Eukaryota; Viridiplantae; Streptophyta; Magnoliopsida; Lamiales; Oleaceae.